RNAcentral lists this ribosomal RNA (649 nucleotides) under uncultured bacterium. RNAcentral describes it as "bacterial SSU rRNA". It matches the Rfam family "Bacterial small subunit ribosomal RNA", at positions 61 to 699 of the family's 1533-position model. The record is from RNAcentral.
GUCGAGCGGUAACAGGAAGAAGCUUGCUUCUUUGCUGACGAGCGGCGGACGGGUGAGUAAUACUUGGGAACUUGCCUCUAGGCGGGGGACAACCACUGGAAACGGUGGCUAAUACCGCAUAAUGUCUACGGACCAAAGUGGGGGACCUUCGGGCCUCACACCUAGAGAUGGGCCCAAGCGGGAUUAGCUAGUUGGUGAGGUAACGGCUCACCAAGGCGACGAUCCCUAGCUGUUCUGAGAGGAUGAUCAGCCACACUGGGACUGAGACACGGCCCAGACUCCUACGGGAGGCAGCAGUGGGGAAUAUUGGACAAUGGGGGCAACCCUGAUCCAGCCAUGCCGCGUGUGUGAAGAAGGCCUUCGGGUUGUAAAGCACUUUCAGUGGUGAGGAAAGGGUAAUCGUUAAUAGCGGUUACAGUUGACGUUAGCCACAGAAGAAGCACCGGCUAACUCCGUGCCAGCGGCCGCGGUAAUACGGAGGGUGCAAGCGUUAAUCGGAAUUACUGGGCGUAAAGCGUACGUAGGCGGUGUGUUAAGCAAGAUGUGAAAGCCCCGGGCUCAACCUGGGAAUGGCAUUUUGAACUGGCACGCUAGAGUCCUGAAGAGGGUGGUAGAAUUUCCAGUGUAACGGUGAAAUGCAUAUAUAUUG